GGAGCCUGCGGCUUAAUUUGACUCAACACGGGGAAACUCACCAGGUCCAGACACAAUAAGGAUUGACAGAUUGAGAGCUCUUUCUUGAUCUUGUGGAUGGUGGUGCAUGGCCGUUCUUAGUUGGUGGAGUGAUG
This 134-nucleotide ribosomal RNA is filed under the name Pleopsidium chlorophanum. RNAcentral describes it as "partial 18S ribosomal RNA". It matches the Rfam family "Eukaryotic small subunit ribosomal RNA", at positions 1178 to 1311 of the family's 1831-position model. Lineage: Eukaryota; Fungi; Ascomycota; Lecanoromycetes; Acarosporales; Acarosporaceae. The record is from RNAcentral.